Molecule: long non-coding RNA, 1207 nt
Filed under: Callithrix jacchus (white-tufted-ear marmoset)
Lineage: Eukaryota; Metazoa; Chordata; Mammalia; Primates; Cebidae
Description: lncRNA (ENSCJAG00000068917.2)
Source: RNAcentral
CUUCAACUGCUAAGUCCCUUGGGAAGGAACUGGAGCAGUGGAAAUUUUAUAUCCAACUCUUCUAAUUGGAGCUAUAGGAUAUAUGGGCCAUGAAGCCAGCAGUGUAGGUGCCAUGGCUUUAGCCUUUGACAUCCUCUCACUAAAACAGAAGGAAAAAUUUGCGUUGCUAGGAUACCCUCGCAUUCUAGACUCUGCAAUGCCUUGAGCCUUUGACUCUUGACUUUUAUGUCUUUUUUCAUCUGUCAAGGCUCUCAGAUGAAAGGAGAGUAUCAGGAAGCCAUGUACUGGCAUCACACUUUGCAAGAUACAGAUUGACUUCUCUUAUUUCUUCUCUCAUUUAAGCAUUCUCCUUUCCUUUCUUCUAAUUGGUUCCAGAAGUUCUUGAUACAAAUGUCAUGUUGGGUGAACAGUGGCAAAUGUAUGCUAACUCAAGUGCCAGUCCCGACCCAUUGUGGCAACUGCCUAGAAAACUAUGUGAAGAAGCAUUCUAAGCUAAGGUAAAGGGCACAUCAGAGAGUGGGAGAGAAAACUAGUCAACAUCUUUAUUAAAUUUGGUAAGUAACAAAGGGGCAAACUUGGGCUAGAUCUUUCUUAAGGAAAUCUGCUUUAUUAGUCAUUUUAAGAUUAAAAUUAUGAUCAGAUUGCUCUUUUCUUGAACAUAUUUCAUUUUCAAUAUAUUUUAUUAGGUGCCCGAUGCAAGAAAACUUAUCAUAGUUGCCUUAAAUAACAAACGUUCCUGACAAGAGUGUGACCUCAAAGACUGCAGGUUUUAAGAAGAUGCUUGCCAUGUUGUCAACAGUCACCGCUGAGAUAAUGCAGUAGAACGAGUUAUACGAGAACCUGAAGGAACUAUGGAAAGUGAAAGAAUUAUUUUUUCUCAAAAAGCAGAUGUCCUUUCACAACAGGAAGGACAAUAUAAUUGUCAUUCUGACCAUUUGCCAAAUGAGGACACUGAGAUGAGAUGAGUCGCUUACAUUGCCCAUGGCCAAAUGGCUGGGUCUCCCUCUGUCACCCAGGAUGGAAUACAGUGAUGCAGUCAUGGCUCUCUGCUGCUUCCACCUCCCAGGCUCAAGUGAUCCUCCCACCUCAACCUCCCCAGCAGCACCAGCACACCCAGCUACCUUUUGAAGAGACAGGAUUUCACCAUGUUGCACCGGCUGGUCUCAAACUCACAGGCUUCAGCAAACCUCCUGCCUCAGUCUCCUAA